CCAGACUCCUACGGGAGGCAGCAGUGCUGAAUCAUUCGCCAAUGCGCGAAAGCGUGACGGUGCGACGCCGCGUGCGGGAUGAAGGCCUUCAGGUUGUAAACCGCUGUCAGGGUCUAGGAAACCGCCGACGUGAAUAGCGGCGGCGCUGACCAGGCCCAGAGGAAGUGCAGGCUAACCUCGUGCCAGCAGCCGCGGUAAGACGAGGUGCACAAGCGUUGUUCGGAAUCACUGGGCAUAAAGAGUGCGUAGGCGGUCUGGUAAGUCGGGUGUGAAAGCCCUCGGCUCAACCGGGGAAUUGCUUCCGAUACUGGCAGACUUGAGAGCGAAAGGGGCAAGCGGAAUUCCAGGUGUAGCGGUGGAAUGCGUAGAUAUCUGGGAGAACGCCGAAGCGCCGAAAGGCAGGCUUUGCUUGGGUCGCAUCUGACGCUGAGGCACGAGAGCUAGGGGAGCGAACAGGAUUAGAUACCCUUGGUAGUCCUAGCUGUUAACGAUUGGGCACUUUGCUUUGGGGGACCUGAUUCCCUACAGGGCCGGAGCUAACGCGUUUAGGUGCCCCGCCUGGGGGAGUAUGGGUCGCAAGGCUUAACAUANCUCCAAANNGGGANAUUGACCGGGGGCGUCACACAAGCGGUGGAGCAUGUUGUUCAAUUCGAAGCAACGCGAAGAACCUUACCUUGGGCUUGACAUGCUAGUGGUACAAACCCGAAAGGGGGCGGACCUCUUAACCGAGGAGCUAGCACAGGUGCUGCAUGGCUGUCGUCAGCUCGUGUCGUGAGACGUUGGGUUNAAGNUUCACCGUAACGAACGAAACCCUUGUCGCUUGUUGCUACCGGGUCAUGCCGGGCACUCUGGCGAGACUGCCGGUCCAAACCGGAGGAAGGUGGGGACGACGUCAAGUCAUCAUGGUCCUUACGUCCAGGGCUACAAACGUGCUACAAUGGCAGGUACAGAGAGACGCAAAGCCGCGAGGUGGAGCAAAUCUUCAAAACCUGCCCCAGUUCAGAUUGGAGGCUGCAAUUCGCCUCCAUGAAGGUGGAAUCGCUAGUAAUCGCGGAUCAGCAACGCCGCGGUGAAUCUGUUCCUGAGCCUGUACACACCGCCCGUCAAGCCAUCCAAGCUGGAAGCACCCGAAGUCCGGCGCC
RNAcentral lists this ribosomal RNA (1142 nucleotides) under uncultured organism. Its description in RNAcentral is "bacterial SSU rRNA". It matches the Rfam family "Bacterial small subunit ribosomal RNA", at positions 331 to 1435 of the family's 1533-position model. The record is from RNAcentral.